AGGUGAUCUGCGGAAGGACAUUG
Molecule: ribosomal RNA, 23 nt
Filed under: Dyschoriste decumbens
Lineage: Eukaryota; Viridiplantae; Streptophyta; Magnoliopsida; Lamiales; Acanthaceae
Description: partial 18S ribosomal RNA
Source: RNAcentral